ACGAGUUUGAUCAUGGCUCAGAACGACGCUGGCGGCAUGCCUAACACAUGCAAGUCGAACGAGACCUUCGGGUCUAGUGGCGCACGGGUGCGUAACACGUGGGAAUUUGCCUCGGGGUAUGGAAUAACUCAGGGAAACUUGAGCUAAUACCAUAUAAUGUCUUCGGACCAAAGAUUUAUCGCCCUGAGAUAAGCCCGCGUAGGAUUAGCUAGUUGGUGGGGUAAAGGCUCACCAAGGCGACGAUCCUUAGCUGGUCUGAGAGGAUGAUCAGCCACACUGGGACUGAGACACGGCCCAGACUCCUACGGGAGGCAGCAGUGGGGAAUAUUGGACAAUGGGCGAAAGCCUGAUCCAGCAAUGCCGCGUGAGUGAUGAAGGCCUUCGGGUUGUAAAGCUCUUUUACUCGGGACGAUAAUGACGGUACCGAGAGAAUAAGCCCCGGCUAACUCCGUG
This 453-nucleotide ribosomal RNA is filed under the name uncultured bacterium. Its description in RNAcentral is "bacterial SSU rRNA". It matches the Rfam family "Bacterial small subunit ribosomal RNA", at positions 1 to 507 of the family's 1533-position model. The record is from RNAcentral.